GGUCGGACUACCUGCUUCCUGUUGCACGUCUUACCCGGAUCGAGUCUUUGAUUAGCUAAAAUCACCCUUUCAAAUGCUGUCGCGUAUGUCUUCCUAUCAUAUAAUCUUUUCAGAUGUUGCAAUCAUGAAUUCCUCACAGGUUUGCAACCCCAUAUUUACCAAAUAAAACUUCCCUCCUCUCUGGUCGCCGUGCGGGAACGAGGGAUUCCUCCGUCUGUCUUUGUGAGGACAAAGAGACACACAGAGAGAACACAAAGGGAGAAAUAAUCCGACAGGCAAACCCAAUCAUGCACAGGAUUAUUGACUAGUACAACUGCAAGACAGCGAUACUCUUAAACUCCGACGCCAAAGAGGAGUCAUCAUUAGAAAAACCACAAGUGCCAAAUGCGCUCUUCUGAACACUCAUAAAUACUCCGAGCUCAUUGCAACUCUGUCUCUUGAGCUCAGCCUCCUGCUGAUUCUCUAAUACCGCCCUUGAUUCAGAUUAAUGACCUCAUUUUUACUGGCUCCAUUGUAAAUCUAAUGAAUUAUCUGAGAAGAAUACAUUGCAAAGUAUUCCCAGGAGUGGACCUUUUGCUGAGAGGACACGGCUUUCUUUUUUUUUUACAGAGUUAGCAACGUCCCCUAGGUUGGUCAAGUCCUCUAAGGACCAGGUAAUCAGAUGUCUCUUCACCCAAAAUCGAGUGUCAUAUAUAAUUGAAUGGCAGCAUGCUUCUGAUUCCAAAGGUAAAAGAAGUCAUCUGGUAUGAGGUUUAAGAAUGAGGGAAGAGGAUACGUUUAAACAUGUCAUGUGACUUUACUCUUGACUCUACUGUCAACGUCAAAAGGGAAAACUGUGUCAUUAACCGAGCCGCUGCACCAAAUACGUCUCCACAUGUCUGUGGAACCGUUAACACCACACUGAUGGAUCAGGUUUGCUGGGUAUUGAUCAGUACAGUGGACUUUCAUCCCCCCCCCAAGCUUCACAAAUCCAAUCGCUGAAACAAAGGAACCCAUUUCGUCUGUUCUUCAUUUCUGGUUUUACAAUACUUCUCUGACGUGACAAAAGGUUAAAAAUAGGCCGACGUUACAUUAUAGUUUCAUAGUAGCCGAGAAACUUUAAAGAACCAGCGUUUCUCCAGUUUAAAUGUCCACUUUGUGGAAGCUGUGAUUCAUGACAUUGUUCAGCAAAGUGGCCCUGAUGUCCUCUGAAAUAUGUCCUCGUCUAUUACCGGGUGCACUUCUUCUUUUGUGUCCCCCCCCCCCCCUCGUCCCUCGUCCCUCCCCCGUGUGCAGAGUGCUCCCUAAAUGGGUGAACUCACCUCACGUCUAUUUGUUGUGUGAAGGCUCAGACUGAUUGGUUUUCAAUUCAUGCGUGUGUGUGGGGCGGCGCCGCCAAUUUCACAUAUUUUGCAUUUUGAAUAGAAGUGUUUUCCAGUGAUUGCCAUAUAUUUCACACAUUGUGUAUCCGUGUGUGUGUGUGUGUUUGUCUAGAAAUGAGUGUGGCGUUUUGUAAGAAGUGUGUUGCAGAAUAGCAAAGACGCUACCAAGGCCAACUUCUGUUUGCACUUGUACGGCUUUUGUUUUGCCUUUAACAAAUAAAGUGCUUUCGUGCUUUUAAGCGUCGCAUUUAACUUUAGUUCCGUAAAAGCAAAAAUCAUGAUCUUUCCUUUGACCUAACCAAGUCAUUAUUUUGCCUAAAUCCCUGGGUGUUCUGUUUUUUAAUUGAACGGUAGAUAUAGCCACUACGAUUCAUCAUACAAAACAGGUGGUUCUAAUCUCAAACUGAUGGGCGAAAGAUGGAAAAGAAGGCUUCUGAAUGACAGGGGUCUCAGCAUUAAAAUUGUAUUUUAUUUUUAUCCUGAAACAGUAACAUAUACUUGUGAGUAUGUUGCAGAGGCACAUGAAGUGUAUAUUUAUGCACAGAAGUUCCUUGGGUGGAAUUCGCUGUGACACGACUUUGCAAAGUUAUCAAGUUUUAUUUAUAGCGGUGUUUGUUUGGUAUAUUGCAUUAUAAUUUUUCACAAGUGAGAAUCUCGCUUCAGAUUGUGGUAACCACAGGCAGGCGAUAUAAUAAGAUCUAAGGGAUCUGCCUUCCUUUUGGCCAAGGAUUGCUGCUGCACCUCGGGGUGCCAGAGAGAGAAUUCAUUGCCACAUGUGGUUCGGAUCGAAUAGAUUACCAACCGGGAUGAAAAAAGUAGGGCUGAUAAAGAGGGGGGAGCACAGAAUGGAGUGCAAGAUAGACUAUAAAAAGGAGCAGAAGGGGAAGAUAAAACAGAGGAAUGACGAGGACAGCAAAUGGGGGGGGGGGAAACGUGUGAAAGAGGAGUGUUUAGUGGAAGAAUUGAGAGACGGGGUUCUGAGAGAAGAGGAAGAGGAACGGGAGCCAACGGACCACCUGGCCAUCUGCAUUUCAACUUCCCCCAGCUGACCAAAUCCCUGCUGCAGGUUCUCCCUUCUUCUCUUUUCUGUUCCACUACCUUUCCCUCUCCAUCUCUUCUCCCUGUCGCUCCUGACGUUGUAACUCAUUCUUCACCCCCUGACAAUCUGUUCCUGAGGUGCAAGCUCGGCUCUUAACAGGAGCAGACACAAAGCAACUGUUUCCAGAAAGCAUUGCGUUUAUUUAUAGAAAUGCGUUUUUUCUGUGCGCUGCUUCCACUCACUGUUUUGCUAACAUUAAAUGCAUAUUUCAGUGGGGGAAGAAGUCCUUAAAUGAUCUACCUGAGUACCCAUAGCAAAACCACAGUGUACAAAUGCAGUAAAUUCUACAUUCCAAGUAAGUAAGAAAACUGGUUGUGCCAAAUUUCCCAAUUUAGACUCAUGGUUGAACCUCUUUGUUAUAAACCUCUGGAUUAGCUGGUGUGCGACCCCCAUCGACACUGCAUUCAACCUACAGGUCGUCCAAAUUAAACAAAAAGAGUAACUUGCCAUUGCCUUGUGGUUCAUGAUGGUGCCUGUAGGGGUAGAUGUUGACCCCUAAGCACUAUAUGGCAAAAAAAUGGAAAAGAAAGAGAAAAAAAUUGAGAUGAAAUCCAUUAAUUCAAUGAAAAAAAGGAAUAACUGGAUCCUGCCUGUUAAAACAAUGCAUAGCUGUUCUCCGUCUCUACAUCUGAAGCAAAAGGGAUCCUGUAGCGGUGCAUGAGACACAGCAGGCUUUCUGCUUACUCCAUCGUACACCCGUCCGAUUCUUCACUCCACGCUCAGACCAAUGAGGUGGUAUAAAGAACGAGGGAGUCCACUCAGGCCAGAAGGUACAUAAAGCGAUGCUCAUUCACUGACUCGCGUCCUUUGCUUGGAUCACAUUACGAGCAUCAUCCCUUUAAGCCAAACCCUUAUAUUGGACCAACCCUAACCGUGAGAUUUUGGUGCAUAAACAUACCUUUCACAGGAUGACAAUGAUGAGAUGCCGUCCUGUCACUAAUCACUUAAAAAAAAAAGCAACGCAGCGGUUUCAUGUUGUGACGUUGGUGUGAUCGGAUUCAGGCAGAACAGCUGUUAUCUCGGGUGACGUGAUCGGAUCGGCGAGGAGGAGAAAGCAGCUUCCCCUGUGAAUGAAGCACACAGUAAGGAAUGUGUUGCUUCAACUGACCAUUUUACCACAAACGCUGAUUACGCGUGCACAUAAAAGGUCUUGAAGGUACCUUCGGGGGACCUUUGCUGUCUUUUGGUUGCAGGAUGGUGGUUCCAUGCAGGAAAUGAUUGUUAGGUAUACUUAAGGAAACAUGUAACUACCCGCGAGAAAUACAUGAUUGUAACAUCUGUAAAGAUAAUAAGAUGAACGACAUAAGCGACAGCAUUUGAAAAGGACACUAAAGUAUCGUUGGCCCAUCUUCCCACCCAGACCCGUCUCUCUAUGUGAAACGUGUUGUCUUUUAACCACAUCUCAGGCCCUGAAGGGUGUUAUUUCUUGAAAGUGGGCAUGAUGCUUGUGGGCUGUAAUGACUGACUGACUGAAUGUUGUUCCUCCUGAAAGGACGGCCUUUUCUUUUCAUAGAAAACAGGGUUGCUCCUGUUCUUUUUUCUAAGCUGUUAGUACUGACACAUGUCUCUGGCUAGUGGGAUAACUGUUUUUUAAUGAGCUGUAAAAUUUAACACCCAUGAAAUCUAAUUGCAUAUACAUGUUUUCAUUGCAUUUUAAUUAUUCAUGAUAAUAUUAUAAUGAAAGCUGUUGAAUUCUUUAGAAGAACGAACCAAGGCGAGCCAUUGACGCGUGUGAGGCAAUGCAGAGAAAUGGGCAGGUUUUUCUGUCUUACAGGGGUCUGAGGCGCUUUAUUACAGUAUCUCUCACUGACACAGCAUCCCCCGGUGGUCAAAUCGAGCAGUGCAGGAACGGGGCCCCACCCCACCCCUCCCUCGCCCUUCUUCUGGUGAGAGAUGUCUUUAUUUACUCAGCUUGUGAAAUCAUUUAGACAGCACUGAGAUGGGCAGCUGAUAAUGGAGACAAGCUGCAGGGCAGGACGGAGCGGGAAUUGACUCGGGCAAUAUCUCGCUCCAUCUCUCUUUCUGCUUAUUGAGAGGAAACACAUCUUUUGUAAAAAAAAAAAAAGGAAAAAAAAAGCUGUUUAUUCAUCCAAAAUGACGCCAUGUGAAUCAUUCGGAAGCUCUGGAGAUAUUGUGAUGCUGCAUAUAUUCUGACCUCAGACAUAUUGGCCCCUACGCCGUUCCCGUGGACUCUAAAUCAAUUUGAAAACCAGGGGUAUUAAACAAGUUGACCUAUCAGCUAUUCGUGAGUGGGUAUACAUACAUUAGCACGUCGCUCAACAUUUAGUAACAUGGUACAUGCACGUAUUUGGUGAAGAGACCUAACGUGUGCCGUCUCACCGGAGGGAUUUGCGUGCUCAGAAUGUACGUACAGCGUGUCAUAUAUAUCACGACGUGGAGUCAGGGGAGGAAGUUCGUUGAGUUCUUCUACAAACCCCUCGCACAUUAAUAACGUUGAUCAGUCCAUAAAUUUCCAUAAACUUCCAUUGAAUAGGGUACCAUGGUAACUGAUGACUCACAGACAAGACGAACACAAAAGGUGUGCUUGAUUUUUUGUUUUUUUUUGCCUUUUGAAGAUAAACCCAAACCCACCUCAAAUCGAUAUUUAAUACAUAGUUGUCUGUGUUUAACUACACCAACCAUUCAACUAAAAACUUGAUAGACCCCGGCAUCCUUCUGCCGACUUAAGAAGAGAUUGUUCGGAAGAGUGUAAGAGUUGAUUUUGUUCCUUGUUUACAAAGAUGUGUUUGUUGACACGGACGCACACGAGCUUCUGGUCUGGUCCACCAGCGUGAGCCCUGGGAGCCUCUCAUGGGGGGGCAGAUGUGCUUGCAGCUCCCGGACUGACAUUCAAGCCGUCUUUUGCCAGAAGCAGUUUUCUGUCCCACUACUCGUUUCUGCAGUCACAAACAAUUAUUGAAUCAAUAGCUGGCGGUCGAUCGCCCCGACGUGAUUUCCUUCACUGCUGCGAGAGUCGUUGUCAUUUAGAGGAACAAUGAACUGUUUUUGUUGUCUUAUUUAAAGCUGUUUAGUGACUAUAAGGUAACGUUAUCUGGCACAAGCAAUAGAUGUUGGGGUUGCUCAGCGGUUGAGUAGUGUGGCAGCUGAAGGUGUUAGCAUCAUGCUACCCCCAAUGAGUUGCACAUCUGAUAAUAAGAUGUCACCGGUGACAUUAAUGCAUUAUAUUUUCUUAUUUUCCGAGUACCCAACGCUGCUGCUAUGCAUCACUUCGGCAUGACAUUGCAGUGGAGGCUCAUCUGGGAAGAAAAACAGCUCGUAGUUCUUAGACUCUUCUUCCUGUAACAUAGCAAACUGAGGUGAACUUAUGCAUCCAUCCCCUGGGAAAGCUUUGUGUUUUCAUUACAAAUGCAGUCAGAAGGAACCAUACCUAUGCUUUUGAGGUCAAAUGUCUGGGGCAUUUACUACAAAUAACAUGCACAUGCAUACAUAAUGUAUUGUGGACUUGUGCUCAAUUGUGCAUCUUUUGCAUCAGAUAUUUGCUCAUAAUUCAAUACACAAAAGAUAUGCAGCUGAGUGCAAUUUGCCCCUUUUCUCUGUCAGUUGGCAAUUAUCCACGUGUUAAAGUAUAAGUGUGCUUGAGGCUGACUGGUUGGUUUUGUUGGUUUACUGUGGCUGAGCCAGAUGGGCCCCCAACACCAUGACUUCAUUCCGGUUGGGCUCCGACCAUUUCUUUUCGUUAACACUGGGCUUGAGUCGACCUUUGAAUCAUUUAAUAAACUUCUCUCUAUUGAUUUUGCAGAUAUGCACAUCUGCGCUGCAGAGCACACAUACACAGAUGGGAAACAUCAAUAGCAUGAAACAUUUGAGAGUUUCAAAGUUUCAACGCAAAAAGACAAAGUGAACCUUUACUCAUGCAGCAUUGAAGCAAAAAUCCUUCUUUUUUCUCGUGUCUUUUUAAAAAUGACAAUGUUUGGAAGCUUUAGAAAUACAUUAUUGGUGGUAAAACUGUUACUGUCAUUGUCACUGCAUCCCAAAAUAUAUAUUUCUUUAGGGAUCAUAAAGACGUUAUAUUUGCAAGGGAGUUGUUUAUCAUCCUUUAUGGGUUAUUUGAGAAUGUUUUGGUUUAUUUUGGUCUUGUUUGCUCAGGUUUUACAGCAAAAGAAACAGACAAUCAAUGUGUGUUGUGUUUAGUAUGAGCACAGUAAAUGAACUAAUCUUCAAAUCAAUGGCUCUAAGUAAAUUGUGUUUUAUAUCCAUUACAUUUUUUCGAUGUGACAUAUUUUAACAUUUUCCAACCCUAAAAUAGUUUUUUAGAAAAAAAUGUUGAGCUAAAAGAAAAUUUCAAACUAUUUUUCAACCCACAAUUAGCGCCACACCCCUGUCUUUCUGCAGACUGAAGACCUUUGUGAAGGACUGCACUACUAAUAUGCAAACAAUAACACAGGAAGCUCUGAAGUACAUGUUUUACACGCACAAAGCUUAGUUAGCAGAAGGGUUUUUGUGUCUAUCAGCAAUAGUUUGUUUUCGUUUGACCAAGCAAAAUCCCUCAGCUCCCCAUAAACGUAGCGGGAAUAACAAACUACUUAAUUACUUAUCGAAUCCAAGCCCCAUUGCCUUUACAGAAAUAAACUGAUCUGAUGUGAUGCGAUCUGCUGUCCCAUUUCACUCACUGCAUUUUGAGCCCUUUUAGCCUGAUGAACUCCCUCAUGCAUUCACAUGGAGCUCGCAGGUGUUGUCGAUGAAUAUUUGCGAGGGUUCAGUGUGCAGCACAAAGGCCGGACGUUGUGUUUGGGACGAGGUCACUGGACUGGACCGGAGAUGGAGCCGCUCCCAGAAUACUUCAAGUGCGAGGAUAAUCUUGUGUGUGUACAGUAAUGAACACAUCAAUGAAUACGUCAUUAAAAUGCAUGAUCAAUAUAGCAUAUCACUGAUUCCAGAGUAAAAACAUAUGAAGUGGAUACUUUUUACUUUUAUAAACGUGUAUUCUUGUUUACUUGUUUUACGCUGUUUUUACUUAAUAGUUUUUUCUUUUUCUCGAUGUUUAAAUCGUUCUUACAAAAAGCACUUUAGUUUUGUCUUGUUAAAUUUUGCCUUUCCUUGCUUUGCAAAGCAUGUUGAUGUGAAAGUUCAACCAAAGGUAAAAAUCAGGCGGCAAAUCCCUGAUUUGACUGCGGGAUGGAAAAGCUGCCGUUCUGUUUAAAAUCGUUCACGAAAAAGUUAACAUUUACCCUGUCUAUGAACUCUUGAGCAAUUGCUUACAAUGAUGCAGUAAAUAUCUCUCCCUGUCUGCCAUUUAACUCUUUAUUUUCACUCCACUAUUUCCAGCAGCAAGUCAGCGCCGGGAAGCAGCGCAGUGGCUGGUGCUCGUAUGCAGCGUGUGUGUUGAGCCCCUAUUGAGGUAAAUCAUUAUCAUUCAAUGUCAUUUCAGGAAAAUAUCAGCAGUCUGCCUCUGAGAGGCAAAGAGAAACACGCUGUAAUGUUUCUCAUCUUUCUAAUCUCCCCAACCCCCCCUGUCCCCCUCAAACACGCAGUCGCACGCUGCUGUUUCAACGUGAAACCGCCCAGACAAACACGCUCUCGGUUUGUGGCGCUCGCACAAACUGCCAACGUGCUCCCACGAUGCAUCGUUGCAUCGCUCUCUCUCUCUCUCUGUUUGGCUCCCUGUUCACCUCAUUGUUCCUCCUCCGCUUGUAAUGAUCAUUAAGCAGCUCCCCACGCACCACACAGGCGGCAGCUGACAAGGGAAGCAUGUCCAUACUGGCUUUUAGGGGCAAUUAAAAACCGCGCCUUUGACUGUGUUGUUGUUCUGCACGCGUGUUUGUGUUUUUGUGUUGUGCGCGAGCGUCAACCUCAUGCAAUCCCCAAAGCGUGUGCGUCGUAAAAAAAAAAGUAAUGGUGUUCAUAUGAGCCCUUUUCUUUCCCGGGGCUCUCAAACACACAGAAGGACAGAGAGCAUGUUGUCUGGCUCAUUGUCGCCAUGGGAAUGAAGAUGCACGAGUCCCGCUGGUGGAGAGAGAGCGAGUGUGUAUUUGACACACGUGGAUAAUAAACUCAAGCGCUUGGCGAUGUGGGGUAUUCAUGAUGAGGAUCACUGUGGAUCGCUCAAAAGUCCCAGAUAGCUACCUGGGAUCUAUAAGAGACACACAAGCAAAGGGCCGGAGACUUGUUUCUGUCCACAGUUCCACAUGAGCUCAAAUAAGAAGAAAACCGAGGCCUGUGCUUCGUAAAUGCAUCACCUACCAAGACCUCUCCAGCAUUGGAAGCUUUUGGAGACAGGAUUGGCUCAUUGGAGAACUGAAGCUCAUCCACAAAGACAUAAUGGAUUAUGGACAUAAUGGACUCCUUUUUUCUUUUUUUACAGCCCCGUACAGACGGUUGAACAGGACUCACAAAGCCUUGUAGUCGUCGUAUACAAACACCAUCCCACCGAACUGACUCGGCUCCACAGAAACCCGCGAAAGAUCUUGAGCUGUCACCUCGGACACGUCUAGGAAGUGCAUGUUUGUGUGUCUGUGCGUGUGUGUGUGUGUGUGUUUUCUUUGUGUGUGUGCAAUCUCCCCGAGCCUUCAGAGUGUGUUGUUGACUCUUCCACAGAAAGCACACAGGCUAAAAGGUCUGGUUUUCUGCAUAAAGCAGUGUGGGGAUUCGGUAAAUCCGUAGGACAUAAGGGAGUUUUUAAUAAGCACGAGUUGAAAUAGAAGCUUCGCAGAGGUUGUUCAAUAUUUUCUCUCUGAAACCCUCAACCAGCAAAUGUAUUCUCACCUCGGGCUUGUUAACACACAUUGGUAUUUUUAAAUUUAAAUUGGAAAGCAAUGUCUCCCUUUCGGAUCUAAAGUCCUAAAGUUCCACAGCUUGCAACAGAUGCUGUUUAAUAGCAAAUAUCACUGUUUGAACUACAAUUUAAUCCAACACAUACAAAUGUCUGGUAUUUCAUGUGCUCGAUACAAGCAAAAAAACUAAAGGUUGACGUGACUCAAGCUGGUCACAUGACUACCAUCACAUAGAGGGACGUCACUUAAUGUUAAACGUGCUUUGGCCCGUCCACAGGUACUGACAGUGAUACUGAGGGUGGGACUGUUGCAAACACACGAGCUGAGAGCCACGAAUGGCCCCGAACUCGCCCCGAUGACCUGCUUCUCAGGCGAUGGAAACAACGCGCCUGGUUCCAGUGAGAUGGAUUCGCCGACAGACCUGGACUCCACGUGCUUGGGAACAGCAGGAAACAGUUUGAGGAUUUCUCCCUGUGAUCUUAGCAGCGUAAUAUGCUGAGCGCGCAGAGAGGAAAGAGGAAUCUUAAAAUCCGUCUGUGUUUAAUGAGCUGGUGAUGCUUUUAACGUGAGAUACAACGUUCUGUUUUAGUGAAUGCUGUCAAGGGUGCAAUUUUUAAAUACAACAGUUACAUUUUGUGAUGAUAAACAACUAAAAGCUUCAGCGUUUCUCAUCAGGAAACACAUUUUUCCUUAUUAUAUUUAUUUGCAUUUGUGCUUUGCUCUUAUUGCUUGUUUUUGCUCGUACAAAAAUUAUGCAAAGCUUGAAAACCAACGACGUAUGAGUAAUUACUCGGAUACAGCCUCUCAAAGGGACAGUCUGGAGCUAAUAAACUUUGUAAUAAUGGCCUAAAAGCAAUAUUUAAUAACUGUUUACUGCAAGAAUGCACACACCCUGCACCGCAUUAGAAAAUUCAUAAUUGCAUGCAUGGAAUGUAUUCAAGUUAAAACUACUUAAACAAAAGUAAAACUUCAAAACACACUGCAACUUUAGACCGAGUAACAGUUCACACUAUAUUUGAGAUGGAACUUGGCUCUAAACGAUUUGAGGACGUUUAAUGGAAACGUGUGUGCCAAUGACACCACUAAGAGUUCUUUGAACGCUUUCCUGGUUUGUUCAAUUAUUUUAUUGUAUAGGACCUCCUUUUCACCGUGGAAUUACAUGGGUCAUGUCCUGGUGGUCAUCCCUACCCUUAAAAUAAAGGAAUGGCUUACUCUGAGUACCAGAUCCAUGUGAUUCACGGCUGUAUUUGGUGAAUAGACGUUCAUAAUACGCCGUUAGCGUGAGACCAAAAAAACGCAACAUGUGAGUCGAAAUGUUAUAUUAGAAAUAAUUAAAUACGUUUUUUAUUUUGAUCUUUUACUUUCUAUUGUUUCCUUUUACAGUAUGUUUUUAACUGUAAUGAACACAUAUACAGAGACAACCUUUUAAGUAAAAUCUUAAAAUUGGCAACAUGAGAGAAAAAAACAGAGAGUUUGUCUUGAUGUUUAAAGGAGGAAUGUUUUUGGCCUCGUCCCUUUUCAGUGCUGCAGCCCCUCGUACUCUGAGCACCUUGACAGUUUAAGGCAAACGACUCCCACCGUCGGGUUCUGAGAUUAACUCUGACAGCCACACUGAGGGCAUUUCUCUCCUUGAGGAGGUUUUGCUGACAUCGUUGGUGGCUUUUGCAGAUUCGAUUUUUAAGGAAAAAAACGACAUAAAUAUAAUAAAAAAACUGUCAACACGUUUCACCAGUUAUUUCUCAUAUAUGUUAUUUUGGCAAGCCAAAGGCACAAACAAUGACAGGAUGAAUAUAUAGACCGAUAAUUCCCUUAUUAUACCCUAUAAGCCACAUUUGUAAUUAUGAAGUUAAUCACCUACAGUACGUGUUCGUAUACCAACAGUAGUAUGAAUACCAACAGCUGUUGCUAUUACUCACAACUAUUAAGUAGACUUGGGAAAAAAUGACCAAUCCACGCUGUUAGGCCCCAAUACUUCUUUAAUGUGUUUUAAUAACUGUACAUUUUCACUCGUCCUUGAGAGCAGUUUCCUCCGAUGACAGAAUUGAGGUUGUUUUUAGCGUCAGAAGUGUGAUGAGGAGCUGGACACAUCCAACCCACCAGACUUUGGGCAGAUAAACAUUGAAGAGACAAAUAGUAUGUCGUUGACCUUUAUAAGCUGAGGUCACAGUAUUAAAUCCUUUGAGCCAUUUCUCAUUUUAUGAGAAGCACACUGCAGCUUCUACAACUGGUAAAUUAUUUAUUUUAUUUAAAGUAUUUCCUAAUCAUGAGUGACACUUGAUCUUGUGCGCAUGAAGCACUUGUUCCAUAACGGAAACGAUGCCUUCACAAAAACGAGACCGGAAUGCUUGAAACUAGUCGCAGUUUGAGAUGGAAAACAACCUUCUUUUUUGCCAGUGUUGGUUUUUAAUGAAGGAUUCACAUAAAAUCAGCCAUAGUAAAUGGAGAGUGUUUUUUGAGUGCAGCCUCUUCAUUGUCUGGGACUGUUUACUGCAUCUGUCGGCCUUCUGUCGGCUUUGCUUUCCAAUCUCUGUGAUUUUUCUGUGCAUGAAAAAGAGGCUCAUCCGUCCUGUUCCUCUCUCCCACUAUUCAUUCCCACCAAACGACUGAACAACUGCUUUAAGAUGCUCCUCCGACUGCUAAUCAUCCCCUGCCGUUUUUAAAACACCUCCACCGAGCUAAAUACCAUUCGGUUCAGCGCAUCACGAUCGACUCGGCGAGAUAGUCGACUGACUUUCCACUCUUCCAUUUAUCUCUCCUUGCUUGGCACAACAGUCAAUACGGACUCAGCUGGCCCAAGCGGAACGGAUUUCAAACCAAACAGAAUCACUGAACCUAUUAGCCCAGAUCUUGUCACAGAAACACGCCCCCAACCAUCAAAGGGGAGGAGUCACAGCUGGUUCGUUGGUUCAAAGUACCAGUCGCAGCAGUGAGGCCCAUUCUGCUAUAAUGUGUCUACCUGUGUCGCUAUUCAUGUCGUAAUAUGGUUCUUUUGGUAUGUUUUAUGUUCAGUGAAGGUUACAGACUGUCAGAUGGCAUCAGCGGUUUCUCCUUUUUUCUCCGUUUUUACGGGCUCCUCCCUUAUGCGCCAUUUCCUCCUCUACAUCCUUGCCUCUGUUUCCUCCUUUCUCCAAACAGUGUUUGGAGAGUACAAAUAUUUUGGUGUCAAUCAGGGAAAACGUGGUCUACCUCUUGCUAUAAUUGUCUUUUGAGUAACAAUUCAUUAGACUUGCAUGAAGACUUCACAAGGCGUCCUUGAGGAAUCCGGGGGCGGUUUACGCUUGAAAAGUUGCUGUCGUGUGCCUGAUGUAACUUGAGUGAAGUCUUACAAGACGGAGGUGAGGCAGCCCUGCUUUUGUGACAGUCGAAACUCUGUAUGAAUAUGUAUGAAUAUAAGCAUAAUACACACAGAGGUGGAAAAUAAAGCCUUGAAAUGAAAGUACUUCAGUAACAGAAUGAGAGAUGUUAUCCCACAGAGGGCAGAUGAUGGUGGGCCACUGGGCUAAUCACUGAUUCUUCAUGAUAUGUAAAUGUCCUCUCUUGUUCCUUAGUAACCAAGGAGCAACACGUCCUUCAGUGCUCGUAUGCACUUUCUCUCUGUAUUUACUUAUUUUCCAAAUAAUAUUACUGUUUAAACUGAAUUUUGAGAUUAAUCUGGGACAAUCCACCCGAGAUGAACUGUCAGAGGUGCUCGCCAAAGCUCUCGCAAACGACUACAGACAAAGCAUCAUUUAUCGCUUCCAGGAGUGGAGUCACCAUGGAUACGGGUCUUCCACCUGUCAUGCUGUUCGCACCGUUGGAUGGAUUAAGAAGGAAACAAACCUCCCUCCCUUUUUGGAAUACAUGCUUCUCAACUUGCGGGUGAAAGAUUGUUACAAUAUUCUUCCCCCAAAUGAGGUUAUGGAGGAAAUUAAGCACGAUGACCAUAAACGAUCCAGCCGUAGGGGUCCACCUGCUCUUGUUAUUCGAUGCAUUCGUCUUCCCUGUGUGCGUACAGUGCAUUAGCCAGGGAGUAUGUGUGACUUUUUACAGCUCCUCUGGAUCCACAAAAGGCUUUCACACAACUUGUUUUAUAUGCAUAUAUAUAUGUACAUAUAUACAAAUAUUCAUGCAGAAGUACUCCCAAAGAUCUGAAAAGUUACUACUACGUGAAAAAUAAGUUGCAUAAAGAAUCCCUCCCAAAUGUCAGAAGGCUUCUAGACAUUAAAGUAGAACACCUACUGGCAUGGAAUUGAACAGCCUCAGGUAUCAUCAUUCUAUACAUCUCAUUUUUGAGUUUCUCAUCCAAUGUUGUAAGUUCCUUUUCUGUCUUUUUCAUUUUUUAAUCUCAAACGUGUCAUUUUCUUCUUCAUUUUCAGGAUAAAAAAAAAACACAAUACUUGUUUUAUGUAUUAUUGUUGAAAUAAUAUUACUACAUGCUGAUGCUGUCUAUGCAGUCAUAAAUACUUUAUGAUUAAAACAGCUCCUUAAAUUUGUAGAUUUCAGACAGAAACCUUUUAAUAUCUACAAAGAGAAAUUAAUGGUGUUUGGAUCCAAAACGGUGAGCUUAAAGGUUUUUGACAGUCACAACGUGCAGGUCAGACUACGUGUUACCUUUUAAAUUCACAUCUUUAAAAAAGAGUCCAUUGGUCUCCAGUGCAGCAGGCUCCCGUCUACCUCGCCUCAAAGCGCUCAUUGAUCAUUCCGCUGAGACCCACAGCUGCAGGAUCGACUCCCGGCGGGUGGUGAUCCUGCAGCUGCAAAGAGGAUUGUUAGCUGAUGUGUGCUCUCCUGGAGCUGCGACUGUACAGCCGCAGGGAGCCGCAAUGCACAAACUUCUUUCAAUGCUUUAUUUCACACGGAUCCAUCCCCCCUGUCAUUGUGUGCAAAGACCAAAUGCACUUUUUGUCAUUCAUUUUAUGUUUAGUGUAGGAGGAACCUGAGCUACUGACGAACAUACUAAUGAAACCAUUAACCUCAAUUAUUCAGUGUUUGAGUUGUAUAAAUACAAUAUGGGGACGGUGACAUUCAUUCAGCAGCAGAUUGGAUUCCUUCUUCCAUUUUGCUUUGUCUUCAUAUUCCUAUUCUUCUCUACCUUUGGGAUUUGCUGAAAAAAUGAACCAAUUUUACAGCAGCUCUGUGAUCAAGAUUGAUGGACAGAAGGGAGGAAAUCAUCAUUCACACGGUGAAGCCGUCAGGCAGGUUCUGAUUAUCUGGCAACAAGCAUGUGCCCUUAUACUAAGAAUUCUGCUCCCUCAAGCUUCUUCUGGCUGGUUUGGUCAAGGCAUUGUAGUUUCAAUAUACUAUAAUAGUUUUUAACUUCAUGGUGGCCCCCCUUGUGAAAUAACUAGUCAACUGGUCCUUGACUGUGAGGCAGGCCUUUUCUGGUCAACACCAGUAGCCGACCUGCUCUUCAGGCUGAUCAGCAGCCACGAUCGAAAAUGUCGUCAAGUUGUCAACAACCUUAUAGUUCUAUGGAUAUAAUUCCAACGUGCUGAACUUAUCAGAACAGAACGGAGGUUCACGCAACAGAAUUUUGCAGAAAAGCAUUGAAGGACACGUCGUGAUUUUUUCAGCUGAAGACUCGAAAGACUGACCUUGCAUUCUCUUCCCCCUGGAGAGGCCAUGUAGAUACAGACUUUCCCCACACAGAUUAUUAAAAUGUAAUUGUGAAAACCAUCCGCUUCAUGGUAAUUCUGUAAGCGUGUCCUGCCACUGUCUGCAGGCGUUCUCUCCCCAUCACACCCUCAGUCAUCAGGAUGAGCUCCGUCCUUCAACGCGGCUUGUGGAGGCUGAGGAGGAGGGCUUUUAGUAAACCAAAAUCUGCGGCGUAUUUCAGCCUUCGAGCAAAAAUUGGUAGUGUCCCAACCAAUGCUCAGACCAAACGCCCUUCUAUGAAGGUCUAACUAGUUUUAGACAAGUUCAUCACUGGUUGAGCGCAGAAACGCACACAUGCUUAAUCACGAGAGGGGUCACGAUUCAUAAUCAUUGAUUCUGUAAAGAAUCCUGGAAGAGUUUUCCAUCACACCUGCGGCCCGUUGGAGGACAGAUUCUUCAGCACCUGCCAUUGGCGGAAUCAGUGUUGUGGGGUUUCGCUGCCGCACAAUUAAUCCUGCGUUAAUUGCAAUUAUGGUUUUGCCUCUCAGUAUAAAUUAAACUUGAUCAAGUUGGAAAGUGACAUUUUUGCAUUUGGCAUUCCGAGUCUGGAGCAUCAAAUGAAGCGCUCCCUACGCACACAUUAACUGCCUCACCAAUCAUAGGUGAUUAACUGGUCUCAUGCCUCCCAAACACGGCUGUGGCUUCAGGCAACAACAUUUUCACUACAAAGGGAAGCGGCAAGUGAAAUGGAGCCGCAUUCGCUGCGCCGGGUGAAUCGCCUUCCACUCGUUUGCAUGCAGCGUGGUCAGGUUUCAUUUGGUCUAUGUUGGACAAAAAUAUGUAGAGAAAAAUAGUUGGGAGUUUUCUGUGAG
Molecule: long non-coding RNA, 15637 nt
Organism: Gasterosteus aculeatus aculeatus (three-spined stickleback)
Lineage: Eukaryota; Metazoa; Chordata; Actinopteri; Perciformes; Gasterosteidae
Source: Ensembl